AGUGAACGCUGGCGGCAGGCCUAACACAUGCAAGUCGAACGGCAGCACAGUAAGAGCUUGCUCUUACGGGUGGCGAGUGGCGGACGGGUGAGGAAUACAUCGGAAUCUACUUUUUCGGGGGGGAUAACGUAGGGAAACUUACGCUAAUACCGCAUACGACCUACGGGUGAAAGCAGGGGAUCUUCGGACCUUGCGCGAUUGAAUGAGCCGAUGUCGGAUUAGCUAGUUGGCGGGGUAAAGGCCCACCAAGGCGACGAUCCGUAGCUGGUCUGAGAGGAUGAUCAGCCACACUGGAACUGAGACACGGUCCAGACUCCUACGGGAGGCAGCAGUGGGGAAUAUUGGACAAUGGGCGCAAGCCUGAUCCAGCCAUACCGCGUGGGUGAAGAAGGCCUUCGGGUUGUAAAGCCCUUUUGUUGGGAAAGAAAAGAAGCAGGUUAAUACCCCGCUGUUCUGACGGUACCCAAAGAAUAAGCACCGGCUAACUUCGUG
This 492-nucleotide ribosomal RNA is filed under the name uncultured bacterium. RNAcentral describes it as "partial 16S ribosomal RNA". It matches the Rfam family "Bacterial small subunit ribosomal RNA", at positions 29 to 507 of the family's 1533-position model. The record is from RNAcentral.